RNAcentral lists this ribosomal RNA (1311 nucleotides) under Vibrio parahaemolyticus. Its description in RNAcentral is "bacterial SSU rRNA". It matches the Rfam family "Bacterial small subunit ribosomal RNA", at positions 230 to 1533 of the family's 1533-position model. The record is from RNAcentral. Lineage: Bacteria; Pseudomonadati; Pseudomonadota; Gammaproteobacteria; Vibrionales; Vibrionaceae.
CCUAGGUGGGAUUAGCUAGUUGGUGAGGUAAGGGCUCACCAAGGCGACGAUCCCUAGCUGGUCUGAGAGGAUGAUCAGCCACACUGGAACUGAGACACGGUCCAGACUCCUACGGGAGGCAGCAGUGGGGAAUAUUGCACAAUGGGCGCAAGCCUGAUGCAGCCAUGCCGCGUGUGUGAAGAAGGCCUUCGGGUUGUAAAGCACUUUCAGUCGUGAGGAAGGUAGUGUAGUUAAUAGCUGCAUUAUUUGACGUUAGCGACAGAAGAAGCACCGGCUAACUCCGUGCCAGCAGCCGCGGUAAUACGGAGGGUGCGAGCGUUAAUCGGAAUUACUGGGCGUAAAGCGCAUGCAGGUGGUUUGUUAAGUCAGAUGUGAAAGCCCGGGGCUCAACCUCGGAAUUGCAUUUGAAACUGGCAGACUAGAGUACUGUAGAGGGGGGUAGAAUUUCAGGUGUAGCGGUGAAAUGCGUAGAGAUCUGAAGGAAUACCGGUGGCGAAGGCGGCCCCCUGGACAGAUACUGACACUCAGAUGCGAAAGCGUGGGGAGCAAACAGGAUUAGAUACCCUGGUAGUCCACGCCGUAAACGAUGUCUACUUGGAGGUUGUGGCCUUGAGCCGUGGCUUUCGGAGCUAACGCGUUAAGUAGACCGCCUGGGGAGUACGGUCGCAAGAUUAAAACUCAAAUGAAUUGACGGGGGCCCGCACAAGCGGUGGAGCAUGUGGUUUAAUUCGAUGCAACGCGAAGAACCUUACCUACUCUUGACAUCCAGAGAACUUUCCAGAGAUGGAUUGGUGCCUUCGGGAACUCUGAGACAGGUGCUGCAUGGCUGUCGUCAGCUCGUGUUGUGAAAUGUUGGGUUAAGUCCCGCAACGAGCGCAACCCUUAUCCUUGUUUGCCAGCGAGUAAUGUCGGGAACUCCAGGGAGACUGCCGGUGAUAAACCGGAGGAAGGUGGGGACGACGUCAAGUCAUCAUGGCCCUUACGAGUAGGGCUACACACGUGCUACAAUGGCGCAUACAGAGGGCAGCCAACUUGCGAAAGUGAGCGAAUCCCAAAAAGUGCGUCGUAGUCCGGAUUGGAGUCUGCAACUCGACUCCAUGAAGUCGGAAUCGCUAGUAAUCGUGGAUCAGAAUGCCACGGUGAAUACGUUCCCGGGCCUUGUACACACCGCCCGUCACACCAUGGGAGUGGGCUGCAAAAGAAGUAGGUAGUUUAACCUUCGGGGGGACGCUUACCACUUUGUGGUUCAUGACUGGGGUGAAGUCGUAACAAGGUAGCGCUAGGGGAACCUGGCGCUGGAUCACCUCCUUA